Molecule: ribosomal RNA, 253 nt
Filed under: uncultured bacterium
Lineage: Bacteria
Description: partial 16S ribosomal RNA
Rfam family: Bacterial small subunit ribosomal RNA
Source: RNAcentral
UACAGAGGUCUCAAGCGUUGUUCGGAUUCAUUGGGCGUAAAGGGUGCGUAGGCGGCGCGGUAAGUCAGGGGUGAAAUCCUGGAGCUCAACUCCAGAACUGCCUUUGAUACUGGCGAUCUUGAGUCCGGGAGAGGUGAGUGGAACUGCGAGUGUAGAGGUGAAAUUCGUAGAUAUUCGCAAGAACACCAGUGGCGAAGGCGGCUCACUGGCCCGGUACUGACGCUGAGGUGCGAAAGCGUGGGGAGCGAACAGG